This 221-nucleotide ribosomal RNA is filed under the name Shigella flexneri. Its description in RNAcentral is "partial 16S ribosomal RNA". It matches the Rfam family "Bacterial small subunit ribosomal RNA", at positions 1063 to 1284 of the family's 1533-position model. Lineage: Bacteria; Pseudomonadati; Pseudomonadota; Gammaproteobacteria; Enterobacterales; Enterobacteriaceae. The record is from RNAcentral.
UGUUGUGAAAUGUUGGGUUAAGUCCCGCAACGAGCGCAACCCUUAUCCUUUGUUGCCAGCGGUCCGGCCGGGAACUCAAAGGAGACUGCCAGUGAUAAACUGGAGGAAGGGGGGGAUGACGUCAAGUCAUCAUGGCCCUUACGACCAGGGCUACACACGUGCUACAAUGGCGCAUACAAAGAGAAGCGACCUCGCGAGAGCAAGCGGACCUCAUAAAGUGC